Molecule: ribosomal RNA, 433 nt
Filed under: uncultured bacterium
Lineage: Bacteria
Description: partial 16S ribosomal RNA
Rfam family: Bacterial small subunit ribosomal RNA
Source: RNAcentral
AACGAACGCUGGCGGCAUGCCUAACACAUGCAAGUCGAACGAGACCUUCGUGUCUAGUGGCGCACGGGUGCGUAACGCGUGGGAACCUGCCCUUAGGUUCGGAAUAACUCCCCGAAAGGGGUGCUAAUACCGGAUAAUGUCUGCGGACCAAAGAUUUAUCGCCUUUGGAUGGGCCCGCGUUGGAUUAGCUAGUUGGUAGGGUAAAAGCCUACCAAGGCGACGAUCCAUAGCUGGUCUGAGAGGAUGAUCAGCCACACUGGGACUGAGACACGGCCCAGACUCCUACGGGAGGCAGCAGUGGGGAAUAUUGGACAAUGGGCGAAAGCCUGAUCCAGCAAUGCCGCGUGAGUGAUGAAGGCCUUAGGGUUGUAAAGCUCUUUUACCCGGGAUGAUAAUGACAGUACCGGGAGAAUAAGCACCGGCUAACUCCGUG